UGCGGGAGUGCUGGAAUUGGCAGACAGGCUAGACUAAGGAUCUAGUGCUGGAAACGGCGUGUGGGUUCAAGUCCCAUCUCCCGCAUC
This 87-nucleotide transfer RNA is filed under the name uncultured Coprococcus sp. RNAcentral's name for it is "tRNA-Leu(aag)". It matches the Rfam family "tRNA". From Rfam's summary of the family: Transfer RNA (tRNA) molecules are approximately 80 nucleotides in length. Their secondary structure includes four short double-helical elements and three loops (D, anti-codon, and T loops). The record is from RNAcentral. Lineage: Bacteria; Bacillati; Bacillota; Clostridia; Lachnospirales; Lachnospiraceae.